UACGGAGGGUGCAAGCGUUAUCCGGAAUCACUGGGCGUAAAGCGCACGCAGGCGGAUCGAUAAGUCGGGGGUGAAAGCCCGGGGCUCAACCUCGGAAUUGCCUUCGAUACUGUCGGUCUCGAGUCCGGGAGAGGUGAGUGGAAUUCCUAGUGUAGAGGUGAAAUUCGUAGAUAUUAGGAAGAACACCAGUGGCGAAGGCGGCUCACUGGCCCGGUACUGACGAUCAGGUGCGAAAGCGUGGGGAGCAAACAGG
This 253-nucleotide ribosomal RNA is filed under the name uncultured bacterium. RNAcentral's name for it is "partial 16S ribosomal RNA". It matches the Rfam family "Bacterial small subunit ribosomal RNA", at positions 524 to 776 of the family's 1533-position model. The record is from RNAcentral.